RNAcentral lists this ribosomal RNA (402 nucleotides) under uncultured bacterium. RNAcentral's name for it is "partial 16S ribosomal RNA". It matches the Rfam family "Archaeal small subunit ribosomal RNA", at positions 473 to 873 of the family's 1478-position model. The record is from RNAcentral.
ACACCGGCAGCUCAAGUGGUAGCCGCUUUUAUUGGGCCUAAAGCGUCCGUAGCCGGUCUGAUAAGUCUCUGGUGAAAUCCCACAGCUUAACUGUGGGAAUUGCUGGAGAUACUAUCAUGACUCGAGGUCGGGAGAGGCUGGAGGUACUCCCAGGGUAGGGGUGAAAUCCUGUAAUCCUGGGAGGACCACCUGUGGCGAAGGCGUCCAGCUGGAACGAACCUGACGGUGAGGGACGAAAGCCAGGGGCGCGAACCGGAUUAGAUACCCGGGUAGUCCUGGCCGUAAACGAUGUGGACUUGGUGUUGGGAUGGCUUCGAGCUGCCCCAGUGCCGAAGGGAAGCUGUUAAGUCCACCGCCUGGGAAGUACGGCCGCAAGGCUGAAACUUAAAUGAAUUGGCGGGG